GUCACCCCAAAAAUUGGGGACCCCCUUGGGGGGGGACAGAUGGAAUGGGGGCACCCCAAAAUGGGGCCUCCUGGGGGUGCGCAGGGGCAGGGGACACCCUAAAAUGGGGACCCCAAGGGGUACGGGCACACUAGAGGGGACCCCAAAACGGGGAGCCCCUGGGAGUCCGGGGGACACCCCAAAAAGGGGUCCCCUGGGGGGGACACCCCAAAAAGGCGACACCCCAAAAUGGGGACACCCCAAAAUGGGGUCCCCUGGGGGGGUAUCCACGGAACGGGGAUCCCCCAAAAUGCCCCCCCCCGGGGGUACGGGCACCCCAAAAAGCGGGGACCCCCCUGGGGGGCACCCCAAAAUCCCCCCCCCCCCCAUGGGGACAUGGCCCGGCCACACCUCUAGCAAUAAAGCGUGUCUGUCACACC
This is a long non-coding RNA of Oxyura jamaicensis (ruddy duck), 419 nucleotides long. RefSeq lists it as uncharacterized. The record is from RefSeq and is a predicted model, not a curated record. Lineage: Eukaryota; Metazoa; Chordata; Aves; Anseriformes; Anatidae. The transcript has 2 exons.